GGCGUCGAGCGGCGGACGGGUGAGUAAUACUUAGGAAUCUACCUAGUAUUGGGGGAUAGCACGGGGAAACUCGUAUUAAUACCGCAUACGACCUACGGGAGAAAGGGGGCAGUUUACUGCUCUCGCUAUUAGAUGAGCCUAAGUCGGAUUAGCUAGAUGGUGGGGUAAAGGCCUACCAUGGCGACGAUCUGUAGCUGGUCUGAGAGGAUGAUCAGCCACACCGGGACUGAGACACGGCCCGGACUCCUACGGGAGGCAGCAGUGGGGAAUAUUGGACAAUGGGGGAAACCCUGAUCCAGCCAUGCCGCGUGUGUGAAGAAGGCCUUUUGGUUGUAAAGCACUUUAAGCAGGGAAGAAGACUCCUCGGUUAAUACCCGUGGACGAUGACAUUAUCUGCAGAAUAAGCACCGGCUAACUCUGUGCCAGCAGCCGCGGUAAUACAGAGGGUGCAAGCGUUAAUCGGAAUUACUGGGCGUAAAGGGAGCGUAGGUGGCUCGAUAAGUCAGAUGUGAAAUCCCCGGGCUCAACCUGGGAACUGCAUCUGAUACUGUUGAGCUAGAGUAUGUGAGAGGAAGGUAGAAUUCCAGGUGUAGCGGUGAAAUGCGUAGAGAUCUGGAGGAAUACCGAUGGCGAAGGCAGCCUUCUGGCAUAAUACUGACACUGAGGCUCGAAAGCGUGCGUAGCAAACAGGAUUAGAUACCCUGGUAGUCCACGCCGUAAACGAUGUCUACUAGUCGUUGGGUCCCUUGAGGACUUAGUGACGCAGCUCACGCAAUAAGUAGACCGCCUGGUGAAUACGGCCGCAAGGUUAAAACUCAAAUGAAUUGACGGGGGCCCGCACAUGCGGUGGAGCAUGUG
RNAcentral lists this ribosomal RNA (858 nucleotides) under Psychrobacter sp. C11. RNAcentral describes it as "bacterial SSU rRNA". It matches the Rfam family "Bacterial small subunit ribosomal RNA", at positions 87 to 943 of the family's 1533-position model. The record is from RNAcentral. Lineage: Bacteria; Pseudomonadati; Pseudomonadota; Gammaproteobacteria; Moraxellales; Moraxellaceae.